Molecule: long non-coding RNA, 2312 nt
Filed under: Cricetulus griseus (Chinese hamster)
Lineage: Eukaryota; Metazoa; Chordata; Mammalia; Rodentia; Cricetidae
Description: lncRNA (ENSCGRG00015029333.1)
Source: RNAcentral
UGGGAAGAAAGGUGGAGGGGAAUUGGGAAGGGGGUUGAGAGAGUAAUCAAGAUAUAUUAUGUAAGACAAACAUUUAUUUUCAGACGGACAAAUAGCACUAGCUGCUUUUCCAGAGGGCCCAAAUUUGGCUCCUAACACUCCCAUCAGGCAGUUCAAACCAUCUGAAACUUCGUCUCCAGAAGAUCAACACUUUUUGGCAGCAUACACUCACGCAGAUACACAAACAUGCACAUCAACAAAAAUAAAUCUUGAUGGGUGUGGUGGCACAAGCUUUUAAUCCCAGCUCUCGGAAGACAGAGGCAAACAGAUACGAAUUCCAGUCUUACAAAGUGAAACUCUGCCCACCCACCUCCAAAUUAAUAAAAACAAAACAGUUUUGUGUUUCGAAGGAGGGGUUAUAUAAAUAAGGGAAUUUGCGUCCAAUCAUAUAUCAAAAGUUUAUAUAAAAAAAAAAGCUCGGGUGGUCUGAAUUUUAAUGAACAGAUGUCAAUUUUGACUAAAUCGGCUUAAAGUUCUAGUCUGAGCUGCCCCGCCGGUGGCUCCCAGCAAAUGGCCCGGCAGCGGUGUGCGCCUGCAGGUACCCGCGUGGAGCGGGUCCCCCUAAGCCGGGAGGAACGGCGGGUGGGGGCUGCUUUUUAACUGACUGACUCAGGAAGCCUCGAAGGGUUGGUGGAUGCUCCUGACGAGAAGACGGGCGAAUAGAAAGGGGCGGCCCGGGAAGGCUUGGGGACCAAUGGCGGGGUGAGUCCUCCCCGAACCUGAGGGUUCAACCGCCUACACCGAGUGAGGGACCAGGAGGCCGCGCCUCAGGGCGGGGAGAGGGGCAGGACCAACGCCGCCCGGGGACCGCUGGAGCCCAACAGUCGCCCACGCGCCAAGCGGUACCCUCCAGCAUCACGAGCCUCUCGAGCCACCCUGGAAGCCCUCUGCCCGGCCCACAAUCCCAGAGAAGACUUAGCCAAGCCGAGUUUCACUUACCUGCGGCCUCCAGCCUCGCCCGCACACCUGCGGCACCCCACGCUGACAGCCUGGAACCCCCGCGGCGGCUGGCCGCACCCACCCGGAUGCAUAAAUGCCGUAGCUACUUCCGCCCAGUGGCCGGACAGAAGGAUGUAACACCCCCCCCCCAACACACACACACCAUGGCGUGUGCCUAUGGGCCGCGCCAUGUUGUACGGAAGCCUCUAGGGCGGCUGUUACCUCGGCAGCUUCUCUGUUAAAGGAUGGGCUAAAAUUUAAAAUUGUAAAGACUUAACGUCUUCGGAAAAGUGAUGCUUCCUGAGAUGGCGCUUUUGUCUUUUGGUUUUGAAGGAAGAAGCCUACUGAACGUUCACAAAUGCACUCAUGCUUGAAAAGGCCAGAAGAGAGCGUUGGAUCCAUCUCCUGCAACUGGAAUUAUAGAAGGUUGUGAGCUACUGUAUGGGGGCUGGUAAUCCAACCUGGGUUAUCUGGAAGAGCAGCCAGUACUCUUAACUGCUAAGCCAUUUCUCUGGUCCCUUAUAUCCUCUUUUAUAAUAACCACAAUAUUGUCUGUAUAUGAAACCAUUCAUUUAGGAUUGAUGACUUUUUUUUCUGUUUGUUUUAUUUUGUUUGUUGGGGGACGGGGUCUGUGCACCACAAUCUGGCCUCCGAUUCUCAAUAUGUAACCAUCAAUUCUUGAUCCUCCAGCUCCCAAGUACCAAGUGCUAGGAUUACAGGCAGGCAUGUGCUACCGUAUACCCUGUUUAUGCAGUGGUGGGGAUGAGCCUCAAGCUACAGUGAUGAAUUUAAGGCCAACAUGGGUUAUAUGAGAUUCUAUCUCAAGAAGGAGGAGCAAGAAGAGUUGUUUGUAUAAACUUUCAUAAUGUUUUCUGUAUACUACAGAAGCUUAGGAGCUAAUUAGAAACACACAUACACGAACACACCAAUAUGUAAGCAUACCCAAAAUGUUAGAAGUGAGAAAGGAUUUCUUCUUUUGAAGAUGGAGAACUUUGGAAAAAAUGACUGUAAGAAUCUUAGACCUUCACGAAUUCCUCUUAGACUGAUGGUGAUACUCUCACCCACCACACAAAGGCACAAACCACUGAACCAUCAUGGGUUGAUUCAACGUUCCUUUUCGUUCUUGAGGGAGUCACUGUGGGAUUAAACUAAAGUUGUGUGAAUAAGGAGACAAGAAAAUUUAGGCCUCUAUAUAAGGUAAAGUUCAAGGCCAUGAGCCAUACUAGUAGUAAGUUUAAGACCAGCUUGACCUACAUUAGAGAGAGAAUUUGUUUAAAAAAGAAAGGGAGGGAGGGAGGGAAGGAAGAAAGGAAGGAAGGAAGACAGACUCGGAG